This 460-nucleotide ribosomal RNA is filed under the name Klebsiella pneumoniae. Its description in RNAcentral is "bacterial LSU rRNA". It matches the Rfam family "Bacterial large subunit ribosomal RNA", at positions 2217 to 2684 of the family's 2925-position model. Lineage: Bacteria; Pseudomonadati; Pseudomonadota; Gammaproteobacteria; Enterobacterales; Enterobacteriaceae. The record is from RNAcentral.
GGCCCCUUACCGUGGGGUUGCGGAUCAGUGUCGUGUGGGUCAGUUUGACUGGGCGGUCUCCUCCCAAAGCGUAACGGAGGAGCGACGAAGGUUAGCUAAUCCUGGUCGGACAUCAGGAGGUUAGUGCAAUGGCAUAAGCUAGCUUGACUGCGAGCGUGACGGCGCGAGCAGGUGCGAAAGCAGGUCAUAGUGAUCCGGUGGUUCUGAAUGGAAGGGCCAUCGCUCAACGGAUAAAAGGUACUCCGGGGAUAACAGGCUGAUACCGCCCAAGAGUUCAUAUCGACGGCGGUGUUUGGCACCUCGAUGUCGGCUCAUCACAUCCUGGGGCUGAAGUAGGUCCCAAGGGUAUGGCUGUUCGCCAUUUAAAGUGGUACGCGAGCUGGGUUUAGAACGUCGUGAGACAGUUCGGUCCCUAUCUGCCGUGGGCGCUGGAGAAUUGAGGGGGGGCUGCUCCUAGUAC